UUUUCUGAUUCUUUUCGCCGUCUCCAUUUAAAAAAGGCCCUCUGCCAUUCGUUGUAUUCAUCAGUGGAGUGGCAGCUCGGUAAGUAGGGUUUUCGAGCGAGCCAAUUCGUCACGGAUAAGAUCGACAGCGUCUCUUCCAGGUAUGGCUUCUGUGCACAGCACCUUGAUGUCAGUCGUGUGCAACAAUGGAAAUCAUUCUGCUCUGCGGAAACUUCCUAACUCUUCCCUGUCACCCGGGUUCAAUGUGGUUGGGCGAAUUGCUAGUGGAACUAAGAAGGAAACAUGUCAUGCUGCUUGGAGAUCGAGUCCAAGAGCCACAUUGACUUUUGAUCCCCCAUCUACUAAUUCAGAGAGAAGCAAGCAAAGAAAGCACACCAUUGAUCCUUCUUCUCCUGAUUUCCAGCCCAUUCCGUCCUUUGAGCAAUGUUUUCCUAAGAGCUCCAAGGAAUACAGGGAAGUGGUUCAUGAGAAAACUGGUCAUGUACUCAGAGUUCCCUUUCGACGUGUCCAUUUGUCUGGGAGUGAGCCUGAUUUUGACACAUAUGACACCAGUGGUCCCCAGAACGUUAGCCCACGCAUUGGACUUCCUAAACUGAGGAAGGAGUGGGUUGACCGACGGGAGAAGCUAGGGGCACCAAGAUACACCCAGAUGUACUAUGCUAAGCAAGGAAUUAUAACUGAAGAAAUGUUGUAUUGUGCAACGAGGGAAAAGCUGGACCCUGAGUUUGUGAGAUCAGAAGUGGCUCGUGGAAGGGCAAUCAUCCCUUCUAACAAGAAGCACCUGGAGCUGGAGCCCAUGAUUGUUGGAAGAAAUUUCUUGGUCAAGGUUAAUGCAAAUAUUGGAAACUCUGUUGUCGCGAGUUCAAUUGAAGAGGAAGUUUAUAAGGUUCAGUGGGCAACAAUGUGGGGAGCUGACACUGUCAUGGAUCUCUCAACUGGUCGCCACAUUCACGAGACUCGUGAAUGGAUCUUACGAAAUUCAGCUGUUCCUGUGGGUACAGUGCCCAUCUACCAAGCGCUUGAAAAAGUGGACGGCAUUGCUGAGAAUCUUAGCUGGGAAGUAUUCAGAGAAACCCUGAUUGAACAAGCUGAGCAGGGUGUAGACUAUUUCACCAUCCAUGCUGGAGUUUUACUAAGGUACAUACCCUUGACAGCAAAGCGUAUGACGGGUAUCGUUUCACGUGGAGGAUCCAUCCAUGCUAAAUGGUGCUUAGCUUACCACAAGGAGAACUUUGCCUACGAGCAUUGGGAUGAAAUCCUUGACAUCUGCAAUCAGUACGAUGUGGCUCUUUCAAUAGGGGAUGGUCUGAGACCUGGCUCAAUAUAUGAUGCUAACGACACUGCUCAGUUUGCCGAGCUUCUGACUCAAGGUGAACUAACUCGUCGGGCUUGGGAGAAGGAUGUGCAGGUGAUGAAUGAAGGGCCCGGGCAUAUCCCGAUGCACAAGAUCCCAGAGAACAUGCAAAAGCAGUUGGAGUGGUGUAAUGAGGCACCGUUCUACACCCUCGGUCCGUUGACGACAGACAUUGCCCCGGGGUAUGACCACAUCACAUCUGCCAUUGGUGCCGCCAAUAUAGGAGCCUUGGGUACAGCUCUUCUUUGCUAUGUAACACCAAAGGAACACCUUGGGUUACCAAACAGGGAUGAUGUGAAGGCAGGGGUUAUAGCAUACAAGAUAGCUGCUCAUGCAGCUGAUUUAGCGAAAGGGCAUCCACAUGCCCAGGCAUGGGAUGAUACCUUAAGCAAGGCGAGAUUCGAGUUCAGAUGGAUGGACCAAUUUGCUUUAUCGUUGGACCCAAUGACUGCCAUGUCCUUCCAUGACGAGACCCUUCCAUCCGAAGGUGCUAAGGUGGCACACUUUUGCUCCAUGUGUGGGCCAAAGUUUUGCUCUAUGAAGAUAACGGAAGACAUCCGAAAGUAUGCAGAAGAGAACGGUUAUGGCAGUGCUGAGGAAGCCGUGCAACGUGGAAUGGAGGCUAUGAGUGAAGAGUUCAAAGCCGCAAAGAAAACUAUUAGCGGAGAACAGCACGGUGAAGUAGGUGGAGAAAUCUACCUUCCGGAGAGCUAUGUCAAGUCUUCACGGAAGUGAAAAGGAAAGCUGGAAUCGUGGUCUCACUGCCGCUCCUCUCACCCCGAGCCCCUCCUCUCACCCCGAGCCCCGGAGCCGGUUGAAAUGUAUGAAAAUAAGAUAUCCAUAAGAAGGUCUGCCAUGACAGACUGUGGGGGUGCCUGAAACAAGGCUGAGAUAGUCCCUUUGAACCUGAACAGGGUAAUGCCUGCGAAGGGAGCGUGCCUUUUUUUCUUCUAUGGUUUGCAGGGAACAGAUCCUGCUUUUUAUGCUGCUCUCCUUUCCAUGGGUGGUUUCUGCUUUUGAUUCUCAUGGGCAAAAGAGAUAUUCAGCUUCCGGGCCACUUCCCCCUCCAUACAAAACCUUAAUCCCAGGCAAGAUUCUGAAGUUUGAAAAGGGGACCGAUCACGAUCAUGCCAGCCAUGGCAGAGACUUUUGAGCCAAGUAAUCUCAGUGCAUAGGCCCCUUCCAAGUGAUACGGUUCUGAUUUCUUCAGCAGUGAAUCCACUCAUCUGCAGAACUAUAUUGAUCUAGAAACAAAAACAGAACCCGCAUCUUUCACAUUACCCACAAAAAAAAAUGGGAUCCCCCCAAAUCAACAGAGCUAACGAUCGACAGUGGAUUCUCAUCA
Tarenaya hassleriana is the source of this 2699-nucleotide RNA transcript. It is a transcript of the gene named phosphomethylpyrimidine synthase, chloroplastic, with no coding region annotated. NCBI's taxonomy places the organism in Eukaryota, Viridiplantae, Streptophyta, Magnoliopsida, Brassicales, Cleomaceae. The record is from RefSeq and is a predicted model, not a curated record. The transcript has 7 exons.